This 474-nucleotide ribosomal RNA is filed under the name uncultured bacterium. RNAcentral describes it as "partial 16S ribosomal RNA". It matches the Rfam family "Bacterial small subunit ribosomal RNA", at positions 35 to 539 of the family's 1533-position model. The record is from RNAcentral.
AACGAACGCUGGCGGCAUGCCUAACACAUGCAAGUCGAACGAGACCUUCGGGUCUAGUGGCGCACGGGUGCGUAACGCGUGGGAACCUGCCCUUAGGUUCGGAAUAACUCCCCGAAAGGGGUGCUAAUACCGGAUAAUGUCUUCGGACCAAAGAUUUAUCGCCUUUGGAUGGGCCCGCGUUGGAUUAGCUAGUUGGUAGGGUAAAAGCCUACCAAGGCGACGAUCCAUAGCUGGUCUGAGAGGAUGAUCAGCCACACUGGGACUGAGACACGGCCCAAACUGAGGGGGGGGGAAGAGGGGGAGAAUGUGGGACAAGGGGGGAAAGCGUGAUCCAGCGGUGCGGGGGGAGUGAAGGGGGCUUGAGGGUGGACAAGCUUUGUUAGCGGGGAGGAUAACGACAGCAGGGGGAGAAUCGGCGCCGGCUAACGACGGGCCAGCGGCCGCGGUAAUAAGAGGAAGAGAAGCCGUCAGAAC